Molecule: ribosomal RNA, 739 nt
Filed under: uncultured bacterium
Lineage: Bacteria
Description: bacterial SSU rRNA
Rfam family: Bacterial small subunit ribosomal RNA
Source: RNAcentral
GGGGAGCAAUCCCUGAGUACAGUGGCGUACGGGUGAGUAACACGUGGAUGAUCUACCUUCUGGUGAGGAAUAACCAUGGGAAACCGUGGCUAAUACCGCAUAAGCACGAGAGUGGAAAGCAGCAAUGCGCCGGAAGAGGAGUCCGCGGCCGAUUAGCUAGUUGGCAGGGUAAAAGCCUACCAAGGCGACGAUCGGUAGCCGGCCUGAGAGGGCACACGGCCACACUGGCACUGAAACACGGGCCAGACUCCUACGGGAGGCAGCAGUGGGGAAUCUUGCACAAUGGGGGAAACCCUGAUGCAGCGACGCCGCGUGAGCGAUGAAGCCCUUCGGGGUGUAAAGCUCUUUCGGCAGGGAAGAUGAUGACGGUACCUGCAGAAGCAGCUGCGGCUAACUACGUGCCAGCAGCCGCGGUAAUACGUAGGCAGCGAGCGUUGUUCGGAGUUACUGGGCGUAAAGGGUGUGUAGGCGGUUGUUUAAGUUUGGUGUGAAAUCUCCCGGCUCAACUGGGAGGGUGCGCCGAAUACUGAAUGACUAGAGUGCGGGAGAGGAGAGUGGAAUUCCUGGUGUAGCGGUGAAAUGCGUAGAUAUCAGGAGGAACACCGGUGGUGUAGACGGCUCUCUGGACCGUAACUGACGCUGAGACACGAAAGCGUGGGUAGCAAACAGGAUUAGAUACCCUGGUAGUCCACGCCCUAAACGAUGCAUAUUUGGUGUGGGCCGUUCAGUCGGUCCGUGC